UUUUUCAGUUGAGGAAACUGGGCCCUGAGACGUUAACUUGCCCAAAAGAUCACAGUGGGCAACAUUCUAGAGCACAAACAAUGGAAGCCAACAGCAAUGUCAGCGAAGAUGGAAAACAGAACGUGGAGAGAGAUGUAGCUUACUAGAGCCUCGUGGCUUCAAUCCCCACCAGGAAUGUCGUUUAAGAAGAAGGUGAUCAAGCACAAAUUCACAUUUGCUUGAGGAAGAAUAUAAAUGACAUAUCACACACCAACCGUGUGCAAAGCACUCUACCUAAAGAUCAGUGCUGACAGAGGAAUAAGCAGAGGGCUCCAGGAGCAAAGAGUGAAGAGUCUGGCAAGGCUUCAAGUACAGGGGGAAGUAGGUGGAGCUUUCACUGUAGAAUCUUUCCUGGAGAAAAAGCAAAGAGUGGGGCAACAAUAAAGGCAUUAAAAAUAACUGUCAAGUUGAAGAAAAAGUGAGUAGUGAUGUGGCUGGAUUCUAGGGAGAUGGGGCUGUGUAAAGGCAGAGUGUACAAGCCUCUGCCAGAAUUCACAUUCACACACCACAGCCAGAAGAGCCGGCAAAUUACAUGGGGAAAAACUCUGUAUGAGCUCGCCUUGCACUGACAUGUACUAUUAUUAUACACUCUGUGCCUUUGAGACAACCUGCCACGCACACACACAAAGCCAGCAACUAAAAGGAAACUGGCAUUAAUACAAUUCAGUGUGAGGGUAUGAUCUGGGGGUGUGGAGGUGGAGAUGAGGUUGUUUUAUUUCUUACAAUAAUACUUGUAUUUCAGGUAAUCGAAUUUAGUUCUUAACGCUCAUGUCAUUUUCUGCUAAUUUAAUGUCCCAGGAAUCCCUCCGAGUAAGAAGAUUGCUAGUGGAAUGCAAAUAAAGCCCAUUCUGGGAAAAAGAACCAUUUCCCCAACCCAGAUCUGAAGUUUAUCAAUACAUGAUCUGCUCAAAAACGAAAGAAAUAAAACAAGUAUCUGCAAUUUGCUGAGAACCUAAUAUGUGUCAGUUGCCUGCAAAACUCAUCAUUCUUAGACUUUCAAACACAUCUGUGAGGACGGUAUUGUUGUUUCCACUUAUACAUGAGAAAACUUACAGAAGGCAAGAGUCAAGCCCACAGUCACCCAGCUGGUAUUUUGCCGAAGACUAAGGAUUCGGAUAUGACUAUGGAAAGAGCAUGAAGUCGUUCGAUCAUCAUCUCUCUCCAUCCACUGGAAAAACUAAGCUCCAUAAGAAGAGGGGACUUGCCCAUGUGGCUCAGGGCUCUAUGCCCAGUGCCCUAGACAGUGCCUGACCGUGUGUGUGGAAAGAAUGAAUAACCUUGGUGAUCCACCCAAUGGCACUGGCGCUCAGUGACCUCGUUUGAAAUGGAAUAAGGAUUUUAUGAAAAUGCAUGUUUGUUGAAUAACACAAAGGAGAAUAUUAUCUAAUGUGGCUUGGGGUCAAUAUCAAGCAGUAAUAUUGUUUUAAUAUUAAUUAGAGCCCUGUCAUUGCAAGAGCUGGUAAGAAUACUGGUCUUGUUUCCAACUGAUGAAAACACUCGUACAGAUUAGGGUUUUUAUGAGUAAAUUUCAGAUCUUGAAGUCA
This is a long non-coding RNA of Symphalangus syndactylus (siamang), 1583 nucleotides long. RefSeq lists it as uncharacterized. The record is from RefSeq and is a predicted model, not a curated record. NCBI's taxonomy places the organism in Eukaryota, Metazoa, Chordata, Mammalia, Primates, Hylobatidae.